ACACAUCCAUUUGAUUGUGUCACCCUCAAAUUCAAAUCCUUUAUCCUUUCCAAAUCAAUCAUCAAUGUGCAUCUACAAAUAAACCCAUUUUGCUUCUGAAAGGGCUUCAAUUUUAUUUUGCAUCUUCUUCCAAUCGCCUUCAAAUCUUUGGUGCUUUCUAUUUUAACAAAUAGUAUGAAGAAUCUUGAAGAAAUUAAGGCUAUAAUGCAAUUGAAGAAUAUGGCCUUAUAAUCAAACGAUCUAUGGCUCGGUGUAUCUUCUACAAGACCCCCAAGUCGAUGGUUCUUUCUACACACCACCGCUUGCUUUCAAAUAGCCAUCUGAGGUACAUUUGUAUUUUCUUCUCUAUAAUCUUUGACCAAGACGAAGAUGCCAAACGAGACCUAUCAGCUCACCUUCUUUGCAACUCGAACCCUAUGUUUAUUUUUUCUAUCUUAUUGUACAAUUUUUAUUUUAAUUUUAUUGAUUAUUCUUAUCAUCUAUUGAAUUUUUUUUGUAGAAUGUAUUGAAAUUCUAGAGUUUUGAUAAAAGGAACAUUGAUAGGGUUAUAGCACGAUUAAUCCCCUCUCACACUCUCUAGCAUCCUACAAAGAAGAAGAAAAACAGAGUAAUUCACUACAAGAAAAUCACUUUUCUAGAUAGAGUCGUCGCUAAAGGUCCCUGUCGCCGGUAAUAGCGUCACCGCUAAAGGGUGAUCACCCGAAUCCGCGUUUUCCCCUUCCGUUACAUCUACACCGUUCGAUCAAAUAUCUAAUCCAACGGUUAGGGUAACCUUAUCCCAACUAACCUAAUACCGGCGAUAUAUGUGUCGCCGCUAAAGCUCGAAAUUGUCGCCGCUAAUGAUGCACUAAAAAAUGACCGGGUACCCUUCCCUCCAGAUUGUCGCCGCUAUUGAUAAUAGUCGUCGGUAAUAAGCUAAAGGCUGACGCAGAUAAAAAAAAAAAAAAAAAAAAAAAAACCGCACGCAGAACUUCAUUCUUCUCAUUUGCUUUCUGUUUGCUGCCUCUUCUCCUUCGCCCCUUACACCUUCUACAAAGUAAUUCACUACAAGAAAAUCACUUUUUAGCGGCGACGUUAUUACCGGCGACAGGUACCUUUAGCGGCGACACUCUCUAGAGUCGCCGCUAAAGGUCCCUGUCGCCGCUAAAGGGUGAUCCCCCGAAUCCGCGUCUUCCCCUUCCGUUACAUCUACACCGUUCAAUCAAAUAUCUAAUCCAACGGUUAGGGUACCCUUAUCCCAACUAACCUAAUACCGGUGACAUAUGUGUCGCCGCUAAAGCUCGAAAUUGUUUCUGCUAAUGAUGCACUAAAAAAUGACCGGGUACCCUUCCCUCCAGAUUGUUGCCGCUAUUGAUAAUACUCGUCGGUAAUAACCCGAGUGUCGCCGCUAAAGGCUGACGCAGAUAAAAAAAACGCACGUAGAACUUCAUUCUUCUCAUUUGCUUUCUGUUUGCUGCCUCUUCUCCUUCGCCCCUUACACCUUCUACCGAGUUCUUCCUCAAAUUUCUUCUUCCAUCUUGAUUUCUCCAUAUCUUGUGUCAUAUUAACUGUAUUAGGGAUUAAGGUGUGACUUGGGACCAAUUUCUAAGUGGAGUUCUUGAAGAAAUUAAGGUAAUUUGAUUUGAAAUUUUCUUUGAUAAUUUCCUUGUUAAUUUGUUUGUUAACACUGAAAAAGUGUUGACUAAAUUUCCAAGUUUUGGUAAUUUAAUAUGUAUGUUAUCCUUGCAAAUAAUGUUAAGGUGAUUUGUGACAUUUUGCAUUUUGGAUGGCUCCCAGGUUUUGGAUAUGUAGUUUCAUCGGGUGAAUAACAGUUUUUCCAGCUAUUACCGGUUGAUUUCUGUCACUAUAGGUUCUAUUAUUUCAUUUAUUUGUGAAUUUGAUAUUUGUAUGUGAAAAUUGCCAAAUGUGAAAAUUGUGUGUAUAUUUGAUAUUUGUAUGUGAAAAUGAUGUGUAUAUUUGAUAUUUGAUGUA
This is a long non-coding RNA of Lactuca sativa (garden lettuce), 1971 nucleotides long. RefSeq lists it as uncharacterized. Lineage: Eukaryota; Viridiplantae; Streptophyta; Magnoliopsida; Asterales; Asteraceae. The record is from RefSeq and is a predicted model, not a curated record.